CCUACGGGUGGCAGCAGUGAGGAAUAUUGGUCAAUGGCCGGAAGGCUGAACCAGCCAAGCCGCGUGAAGGACGAAGGUGCCAAGCAUUGUAAACUUCUUUUGUCAAGGGACAAAAUCAGGCUCGAGAGCAUGACCGAGGGUACUUGAAGAAAAAGCAUCGGCUAACUACGUGCCAGCAGCCCGGGUAAUACGGGGGUUGCGAGCGUUAUCCGGAUUGAUUGGGUUUAAAGGGUGCGUAGGCGGACUGUUAAGUCAGCGGUAAAAGCCCGGGGCUCAACCCCGGAGAGCCGUUGAAACUGGCUGUCUUGAGAUGUCGAGAGGUAUGCGGAAUGCGCAGUGUAGCGGUGAAAUGCUUAGAUAUUGCGCAGAACUCCGAUUGCGAAGGCAGCAUACCGGCGGCGAUCUGACGCUGAGGCACGAAAGCGUGGGUAUCGAACAGGAUUAGAUACCCCAGUAGUC
RNAcentral lists this ribosomal RNA (459 nucleotides) under uncultured bacterium. RNAcentral's name for it is "partial 16S ribosomal RNA". It matches the Rfam family "Bacterial small subunit ribosomal RNA", at positions 338 to 795 of the family's 1533-position model. The record is from RNAcentral.